GACGAACGCUGGCGGCGUGCCUAGUACAUGCAAGUCGAACGCUUCUUUCCUCCCGAGUGCUUGCACUCAAUUGGAAAGAGGAGUGGCGGACGGGUGAGUAACACGUGGGUAACCUACCCAUCAGAGGGGGAUAACACUUGGAAACAGGUGCUAAUACCGCAUAACAGUUUAUGCCGCAUGGCAUAAGAGUGAAAGGCGCUUUCGGGUGUCGCUGAUGGAUGGACCCGCGGUGCAUUAGCUAGUUGGUGAGGUAACGGCUCACCAAGGCCACGAUGCAUAGCCGACCUGAGGGGGUGAUCGGCCACACUGGGACUGAGACACGGCCCAGACUCCUACGGGAGGCAGCAGUAGGGAAUCUUCGGCAAUGGACGAAAGUCUGACCGAGCAACGCCGCGUGAGUGAAGAAGGUUUUCGGAUCGUAAAACUCUGUUGUUAGAGAAGAACAAGGACGUUAGUAACUGAACGUCCCCUGACGGUAUCUAACCAGAAAGCCACGGCUAACUACGUGCCAGCCGCCGCGGUAA
This 524-nucleotide ribosomal RNA is filed under the name uncultured Enterococcaceae bacterium. Its description in RNAcentral is "bacterial SSU rRNA". It matches the Rfam family "Bacterial small subunit ribosomal RNA", at positions 28 to 523 of the family's 1533-position model. Lineage: Bacteria; Bacillati; Bacillota; Bacilli; Lactobacillales; Enterococcaceae. The record is from RNAcentral.